Molecule: non-coding RNA, 2948 nt
Organism: Durio zibethinus
Lineage: Eukaryota; Viridiplantae; Streptophyta; Magnoliopsida; Malvales; Malvaceae
Source: RefSeq, a predicted model, not a curated record
AAUUCCAAUUCCAAAGCUCUACAAGAACACUCACAUUGGAGAACGUGUGAAUUAAGUUUGUCUUGACGGGAUGACCAGUCGACCAGGUAUAAAAGGCCUACUCUGUUCCAGUUUCUCUCUUUCUUACAAUGAAUCACCCGUUGUCCGCUCCUUAAAACACUAAUCAGUUGCGACCAAAACCCAGAUUGGCUCCAAACCUGUUCCCAAUCUGGUUUCUCAUUACGAAAUCGGCAUCGUUGAAAACAGAGUUGAAGGAAUAAGAAUGAAAAAAAAAAGAAAAAGAGAGAAUGGGGUGGAAUCACCCAGAUAUAUCGUUGAAAGAAAUGAUGAAACUGAUCAAAGGGUUUGUAGAUAUACUAACUUUAUCAUCUGGGUAUCAAUCAUCUGGUCUUCUCCCGGUACCAGUGUGACUCCCAUAACAUUAAGCGAGCCUUUCAAUGGGCUCUCUUCUUUGAAAACGUUUUUAGGCGUUUAAGCAACUUGGAUGUUUACCAAGAGUCUAUAGAGGGACCUGAUGCAGCUUUAUUUGAAAUGACAUCCCAUCCUUCCUUUCCUCAGGUUCUGGUCGUUAUACAUCUGCUUUCUUAUAUACUAAUCGAAAUUUUACGUGAUUGUAUUGUUAUUAGUAUCAUUUUCGUGACAGGGUCUUGCACAUUUAUCAUCUGCUACUUUUAGAAGGGAAAGAGGUUUUUUGUUGGAACACUUGCUCCAUAAUUUUCCAUUGAGAGAUUCACAUCAAAGAGCAGUUUUGACAACAAUCAUUAAGAUGGAUCAUAGUAACCUUUCAGAGACAGAACAUGACUGUCUCAAAUCUCAAUGCAUAUUUGAAUAAUUUGACCCUGCGAAAUAGAAUUGUACUAGGAAUUCGAUUAUAUCAUCUCCAGAAGUAACUCCAACCGUGGCUGAAAAGUCUAGCAGUGGUAAUUUUACUAAACUUGCUGUUCAGAAACUCUUCAGGAGGCAAUCUUCCAUGUCAUGCAUAUCAAGUGUUGAGGUAGGAGUGGAGAUACUUUCUAAUGCUGUAAGGUGUAGCAACUGGAUUCAUUCUGACUGUAGCUUAUUUAAAUCGCUGUAAGGCGUACCAGCUUUAGUGCGGUAAUUAAGUACUGAUAUUCUUGCUAGUAAUUCCAUGCUGCUCAGAAAUAUGAAUGUAACUUCCCCGAUCCCACAAAAGGUGCCUUUCAAGUUUGAGUUUAAAUAUAUAUAUAUAUAUAUAUCAAUCUUUAUCCAUACAUUCUUCCAUAUAUAUAUAUAUAUCAAUCCUUAUCCACACAUUCUUCCAAUGUGAGAUUGAGGGUGUUACAAUGAAUACAUGAGUUAAUGCUUAGUUCUUAAAAGGAUAUGGAAUCUAUUUCUUUUCUUUACAUCACCAUCCAACUCUCUAAAAGACUACCUUUUAUUUUCUUUGAAACUCAUGGAUCUCCCUUGUUAGUAUUUCAACUAACAAUUUUCUGAUGCAGUAAUCACAAACUGUUAGAUGACACUCGGAUUAAUAAUCAAUUGCUUCUACUCUGCAUCACUUUUCUUAAAGGUCUGAGCCAAAAUAUUUCGUUUUUCUACCUAGAAGUGCAUGCAUUAGUUGAUGUCAUCACAUGGAACGUUGGAAAUCAAGGGCUUUGUCAUAUUUUCUUGAUAAGAGAACUAUUAGAUUGGUUUCUGGUGCCAGUUUAAUAUUUUCAGGCACUAACACUCAAUGGGAAAAGUGUUUGGGCAGCUGAACUUUUCGGAAAAAAAGUGGCAACAAUCCUUACAUGAGGCAAUUGUAAGUUUGUUCUACUUGAUAUGACUGAUAGUGAUGUAAAGCUUGCUUUACCAUGUUUGAUGUGUAUCCUAAUAGUGAGUGUCACAUGCUUGUUAAUAUCUAUAUUGUUCUAGUUCUUGCUCUUAUGCUUGUGCUAUGUUUUUGGCCAUCAUGUCAUUAUGUCCAUCUACAUGUUGCAAAUGGUAACUAUGCUGAAUUUGGAGGAAGUAUAAAAUUUUGGUAGAAAGACACCGAUUUAGUGUUAUAUUCCUCUAGAUAUGCUAUACUUUGCAAUUGUUUGCCUGUUGUUGAUUUGGGCUUUGAAUGAGUAGUUUACAUUCUAGGUAUUUUUAUUUAUGAUUUAUCGGGAAAAGAAAAGCAUAUCUGUUUCUUUCUUUUAUCAUUUGAUGUUACAUGAUGUUUAUGAUGGAUGUGGUGUGGCUGCAGUUACGUUGAAAGCAAAGGGACAUGAAAACAGAUAAAAAAAUUCCAGGGAGAAAACAAAAGAUGUAAAAUACUUGAUCUGCUAUUGAAAAUCGCUGUAUUUUCCUAGGAUGAAAGUUAUUAUUAUUAUUAUUUUCUUUUGCAAAGCAAAGGGUGAUGAAACUUAUUGUUGCAUACAGUAACGGUGUGCAUCUGCUAUCUGCCGCACAAAAAUAUUCACAUCUUUGUGGGCCUUCGUCCGGAUAAAGUGAAACCAAACCUUUCUUCCUUUCGGCACUAGAAGAGUCAGACAGGCAUGGACGGCAUAAACUUUUUAGUCACAGCAAACAUUACCUUGGUGUGUGUGUGUGUGUCUCUCUCUCUCUCUCUUAAUUUGUAGAUGCUUCACAGAAAGUUCACCACGCAUAAAACUGAAAGAGAAAUCACAAAUGAUAAACACCAGCAAAUUUUUGUAAGGCUAACCAAUUCAAAAAGUGCUCAUCCCAGACCACAUCUAGUCCUUUCUCCAAGAUUAGACAAUGGAUGACCUAGGAAUGAUGGCAAAGCAAAGUGGAAAGAAAUAAGGGUGACAAUGAUUCUGAUUUCAGACAAAUGGCAAAGUGCCAUCUAACAACAUCUUUAGACAUGAAAAGUUCAAUAUUUCAUGCUUUCUUUCAAACUGUAUAUAUCUUAUUGCCCUUAUUGCUUUAGCCUUGCAGCCUCUCCUCCUUUGAGUGGAUUCAUAGUUAGUAGUUUGGUAGGAGUUAGCAUUGAAAAUUGUGAA